UUGUCUCAAAGAUUAGCCAUGCAUGUCUCAGUACAAGCCAAAUUAAGGUGAAACCGCGAAAGGCUCAUUAAAUCAGUUAUGGUUCCUUAGAUCGUACUCACAUUUACUUGGAUAACUGUGGUAAUUCUAGAGCUAAUACAUGCAAACAGAACUCCAACCGGAGACGGAAGNGAGUGCUUUUAUUAGAUCAAAACCAAUCGGUGGCAAUUUUGUCAUCGUACAACUUGGUGACUCUGAAUAACUUUAUGCUGAUCGCACGGUCUUGCACCGGCGACGCAUCUUUCAAAUGUCUGCCUUAUCAACUGUCGAUGGUAGGUUCUGCGCCUACCAUGGUUGUAACGGGUAACGGGGAAUCAGGGUUCGAUUCCGGAGAGGGAGCCUGAGAAACGGCUACCACAUCCAAGGAAGGCAGCAGGCGCGCAAAUUACCCACUCCCGGCACGGGGAGGUAGUGACGAAAAAUAACGAUACGGGACUCAUCCGAGGCCCCGUAAUCGGAAUGAGUACACUCUAAACCCUUUAACGAGGAUCAAUUGGAGGGCAAGUCUGGUGCCAGCAGCCGCGGUAAUUCCAGCUCCAAUAGCGUAUAUUAAAGUUGUUGCGGUUAAAAAGCUCGUAGUCGAAUCUGUGUUCCGCGCCGCCGGUUCAUCGUUCGCGGUGUCAACUGGCGUGUCGCGGAACGUCCUGCCGGUGGGCUUAGCUCGCAAGGGCGGCCCAACUCAAUCCCGCCGCGGUGCUCUUCAUUGAGUGUCGAGGUGGGCCGGCACGUUUACUUUGAACAAAUUAGAGUGCUUAAAGCAGGCUAAAAUUUUGCCUGAAUACUGUGUGCAUGGAAUAAUGGAAUAGGACCUCGGUUCUAUUUUGUUGGUUUUCGGAACCCCGAGGUAAUGAUUAAUAGGAACGGAUGGGGGCAUUCGUAUGCGACGUUAGAGGUGAAAUUCUUUGGAUCGUCGCAAGACGGACAG
RNAcentral lists this ribosomal RNA (964 nucleotides) under Australenneboeus sp. COL1029. RNAcentral's name for it is "SSU rRNA". It matches the Rfam family "Eukaryotic small subunit ribosomal RNA", at positions 32 to 942 of the family's 1831-position model. The record is from RNAcentral. Lineage: Eukaryota; Metazoa; Arthropoda; Insecta; Coleoptera; Archeocrypticidae.